Molecule: ribosomal RNA, 453 nt
Filed under: uncultured bacterium
Lineage: Bacteria
Description: bacterial SSU rRNA
Rfam family: Bacterial small subunit ribosomal RNA
Source: RNAcentral
GAUGAACGCUGGCGGUGCGCCUAAUACAUGCAAGUCGAGCGAGACGGUAUUUAUGUUUACAUAUUUGCCUGAAAGCGGCGGACGAGUGAGUAACACGUACGGAGUUGCCCUAUACUCAGGGAUAACUGGCCGAAAGGUCAGCUAAUACCGGAUGCCCCCGCAAGGGGAAAGAUUUUAUCGGUAUAGGAGACUCGUGCGGCCUAUCAGCUUGUUGGUGAGGUAACUGCUCACCAAGGCUAUGACGGGUAGCUGGUCUGAGAGGACGAUCAGCCACGAUGGGACUGAGACACGGCCCAUACUCCUACGGGAGGCAGCAGUAAGGAAUCUUCCGCAAUGGGCGAAAGCCUGACGGAGCGACACCGCGUGGAGGAUGACGGCCCACUGGGUUGUAAACUCCUUUUCUCAGGGAAGAAGUUCUGACGGUACCUGAGGAAUAAGCCCCGGCUAAUUACG